AAAGGCCCCAGGGCUCAGCACCAGCAAGGACUGCUGUUGGCUUAGGGGAGAGAACACUGCUCUUUCCUUGUUUCCCUUUUCUCAUUAUUUUUGAGUUAUGCAAAGUUCCAAGUGCUGAGGCAAAGCUAGUCACAGGCGGGGUGAAAUUUCGGACAGCAGGAAAGCAAAGUGAGAUUUGGCUUUAUCCGUUCUUUUCCAAUCAAAUCUCCAUACUCAAAUCACUGUCGCAGAGCAAUGCCUAGGACGUGGGUUUGUUUGGAUAUACAAGCUGUGACGAUUUGUAGGCGACUUGAUUUUGCUGCUAUUAAUGCUGCGGGAGUGAAACAGAAAAAUGCCUGUAUUCACUGGCAAAACCAAAUGGGCUUAAUACUAAAUCAGAGCGAUGAAUCCUGCUGCGACCUGGUGUAGUCCUCAGGACUUUUCUUCCCAAGUGCGUGGAUAUGUGGAGAGGUACUCCUUGGGAAGAGAGAUGAAGGACAGAACAACUGAUAGUUCAGACCUGAAUUAACAAGUCUAACUCUUUUUGCAGCACUGCUUUUGAAUUUGCCUACCUCUCAUCUUGACUGAUCUUCCCUGCUGAUGAGAAACCAGCCUGAGGUGCCUUCAUUCUGCAGCUCAACUCUGAAGACCCCUCGCCUCUACCUCCAAGACCUUGGACACUCCUGCAGCUUCACAAAAGCACCAGCAAAUCCAUGCAUCUAAUAAACCUGCCUAUAUCCUGAGAGCUCAGGCUGGGUUUAAGCUACUCUUACAUACACCAUAAAUACAUAAACCAUUACAUACAUGCAUAAACCAGUAUACACCAUCACUGUUCACCUGAUGUUGUGGGGAAUUAUGCAGUUAGGCAUACAAAAGGUGCCCAACUCUCCAUGCUAGUUGUGUGCUCACAUGGACUCCAUGGUGACUCAACACAGCCAAGGCACACGUUCGCACUAGCUAUUAGAUGUUUUCUCUCAAAAAGUCACAUCUUCAGGUCUGUUAUUUGUUAAGACCUGCUCCAGCUUCUUGUGUCAUGUCACCCCAGGCAGAAAUCAAGAUCCUCUUAGUAUUCGUAGAAAAGAGUAAUUGCAGGUCUCUGCCUUUUCUCCAGUUUAAAGUGGAGUUAAUUUGUCAUAGUUCUAGGAAUCAGAAUAACAAAUUCUACGUGCCUCCAAAAUUGCUUUGACCUUGUACUAUGAUUUGUGCUGGAGCAAGGUCCAUUUAGACUACAAAACACAAGGGUAGUAUUUAUUUAACUGAUUAUGCUGCAUUCUUUUCUUAUGAAUCACUCUCCACAGAUGGUACUUAUGCCAUGUCCUACUUUCUCACUUGACAAACAACUGCUCUAAGACUCUCUCAUAUUUGGUCUUGCAUGAAUGUAACUGCAUUGAAUGCAAUGGAUUUAUUUAUUAUUUAUAUUGGUGUCAACAAAGUUGGACACAGGGCCUGUAAAAGUAAAAAAAUGCCCCAGAUACUUGUAGAAUUCAAUAUGGCAAGUUCAUUAUUUAUAAAAUGAUUGUUUCUGUUGCAGAACAUUAUUGAUAUUGUUAUUCUGUGAGCUUUCCACAUGUACAACUGGUACAUACAACUGUACAUAGUCAAUACUGCUUGAAAUUAAUAAGACUGGUAGAAGGUUUUUCGAUCAAUAUAUUCUUUCCAAAGAAUAUGCAACAGUGUGUAUGAGGGAAUUGAUUCUGUUUUCACAGAGGUGUAAAUAAGAAACAAUUCUUAGAAGUGAAAGGAAUUGUAAAAACAGGAAACAAGAAGGCCAUAUGUGAUGUAAAGAUUAACAUACAUUUUAAAUACAACUUUGCGGCACUUUGGAGACCAUUUGGGGAUUACAGUAAUUUUAUAUUCAGUAAAAAGCGGUUCUCAAUUACAGAGCCAUGAGUUACUUCUAGUGAUGAGAAAAAAAAAAAGAAAAAAGUUUUGUUUUGUUUUUUUUGUUUUGUUUUUCCUGCAAAAGGGUUCAUCAACUUACUCUUGCAAAUCCCUACGAAAGAGUCUGGUUGCAUGAAUAGCACCACGAGAAGAAAGCAGUGAAAACGAGCAGUGUAAAGACUACAUGUGUGAAAACCAGCCUACGAAGUUCAAGGAGUAAUUUAUUAUUGCAGAAGCCCUUCCAUUCUCUAAGGGAGAAAAGGAGGUACAAUCGCCCUGUGACCCAGGGAAGAGACGAGAACGGCUUUGGAUCUGCUGUAGGUUACCCCUGCAGGCUCUGUAUGAUGAAAGGAAUGUGCAAUGGCUGUAAAGAAUUGACAUUUACUGCCUUCCUUUAUUUUUUUUCUUCCCCCCUUGGUGAUUUCCUUUACUCGUCCUGCUCUGAUUACAGUUCAUGGUAAUCAGCACUGGUUCUUUGACUAAAGCAAGAUCUCCUAACUAAGCCCCAAAUAGAUGAGCUCCUCUGUCCCAGCAUGGCCAUGGGGGAAAGGAAAGCUUAGGCAUCACCCAUGAAGCACUUCUUAAAAGCAAUUAAUGCACGCACGACACUACCACUUGCCUCUUUUGCCUAAUCCACCCAGAGAGCAUGUCUCUGCUCCAUGGAGCAAGCGUGGAUUUAAACCCCAUAAGUGUUACUCAAAUGUAAGGAUGUCAUAUAUCCCUGCAGCCACAGUAUUAUGGUCAGCUUUUGCAAGCUAAUAGAUUUGGAUUUAGACAGCUUUGGUAAAGGAGCCUGUUAAGCAAAACAGAAAGUAUUGCACAAAACGGGCUGAGCAAUUGUGUUGUUUAUACUUGUCCUUUGAUGUAGAAUUAGCUGCACUGAGGGAGGUGCCGUCUCUGUAGGAGCUGUUAGAUAUGUGUCCUGGACACUGAGAGGAAUUGACAACCUGAUGGCAUUUUCUACUGGAUAUUUUAGGUGUCCUGGCCAAACUACAAUUUGAGUAAUUACAUCCUGCCCACCUCUGCUGCUGUUACACUUUCAAUCAGAUGUAAUGUUAUUCACAUCCUGUCCAAAACAACUGUAUGCUGUAAAUAUAGCUAUUUCACUUUUUCCAGAGGUGACUGGUUUUCAGCUGUGGCUUAGGGCUCCUUGCAGAUGUAAAAAAUAAAUAAAUAGGACUUCCAGAUAGAAAUAUUAUGUGCAGGCUGAAUUCUCUUUUCACAUCAACUGUAAUACCUGAUUUUCAUGCAUUAACCCCAGACCUUAUUAUUUUCUACCAAGUGCCCAGAAAUGCAGAAUCACUCAGGACCUUUUCUGCUCGGUACCAUGUGAAUCCGUAGUGACAGUCCCAGCUGGGAAGAGUUUGCAGCCUGAAUACCUAAGACAGUCCAGAUAAAACAUAAGCCUAACAAAACCAAAAGUCUUGGACAAGGUCAUUCAUGUCUCUUUGUCUCUGUGGCAGCCUGGGGACCUUGCCUGCUGUUCAGGUUCCUGCAACUUUUGAACAAAGUUUCUGUUCAGUUACCUUUCCCCCUUGACUGGUUUGUAUAUGUAUAAGCUGAAUUUGUUUUUGCCUUUUAAAGAUCUUGAAUUCCCUCUUGCCUUCCUCCAACAAAAGCAUGAAGUCACUGAAGUCUAUUUUUUUACUUACUUGCCGCAUUUUUAAAGUGGACAUUACUUGAGUUGAUGCUUAGAAGCGUCUACUUUAACAGCAUUGCUGUUUAAAGUUGGAUGCUCUGAGUCUUCUCCUGGCACCUGUCUGGAAUGAGCCCCUUUGCUUGAGGCCGCAGCUUGUUUAGCAACAAACCAAAAGCACUGGAAAUCCCAUCUAGAAUUUGUAUUGCUCGUUGCUGCAAGUGUGCCCACUGGGAUGGACCAGAGAGGGAGACCAUGUCCCUGCCCAAAGCGCCUUUGGUACAAGAUGACAAACAUCGCAAACUAGAGGCAAAACACCCCAGGGCUCCCAAAGAUGAUGUGAUCUAUAGCUCUGCCUGGUAUACUUUCUUUUUGCUCUCCCUUUUCCCCCUCAGUCUGAAGGGGUGAAUUAAAGCUGAUGAGCUUUCUGGCAGCAGCAUGAUCCAAGAAGGGAUAGAUAGAUAAAAGAUAGAGGGGAUGGUGAGCAUGCCAGGAUGGUGUGUUACAGUGGCAGAUGAGGGACAAAAAAAGGAAAAUUCUUAUGAGCAAGGUCCUGAAGUUUUGACAAAGCUCCAGUGAAGUUCAGAGAGAGCUUGCCUGACGGGAGAUCUGACUCAUUAAGAGUGCUAAACAGUUCAUAUUAAGCUUACCGCCCAUUAAAGCCUUUUGCUAUGUGCCUCAGACACCAGCAUUCAGGUUGGGGUCAGAUAUGGUAAUAAAGCAUAAGCUUCAAUUUUAGGCCUGAAUGUAGGUUUUUAAAUUUUAUUAUUAAUAUUAUUAUUUUGUUUCAGUAGAAAUAGUCACACGGUUGAAUGCAAAUAUAUGCUACUAUUUUGCCAGGUCUCCUGUAAAAAACAGAGGAGAGAAACCUGAUGGACAGCCAGCAUCAACAAUUUAACACUGAACUGUUAGUGGGAGAGCACAGUUUGUAUAGCCCACAGCUCUAGAAGGGAACACUACUGGGUUGGAGGGAAGAUAUUACAGGCUUAAGGACCUGUCCCAGGACCAUUUUUUUAUAGAGGUAUAUUUCAAAACCCUACAGAUGAUGUCUAAGACAGCAGAGAGGCAAUAUUACCACUGUAAAACCUGCUGGCUGCAGCACAGCCAUCAACCAGUCCUAACUCUGCUAUAACCAUGCUGCAAUAACCACUGUUCAAAAUAAAUUGUCACCUCUUUUCUCCAGCCGCUAUUACCAUUUCUGUGCAUGAAAAGUAAAAAGAUGUUUCAUUUCAUCUGCUUCUUGUGGGAUUGAAGUGCUCUUGUAUGUGCCAUACUCCCGGUCUGAGGAGUAAUAGUAAAAUACAACUUGAAUUCUUAA
This is a long non-coding RNA of Strigops habroptila (Kakapo), 4814 nucleotides long. RefSeq lists it as uncharacterized. NCBI's taxonomy places the organism in Eukaryota, Metazoa, Chordata, Aves, Psittaciformes, Psittacidae. The transcript is spliced from 3 exons. The record is from RefSeq and is a predicted model, not a curated record.